UACAGAGGUCCCAAGCGUUGUUCGGAUUCACUGGGCGUAAAGGGUGCGUAGGUGGUGAGGUAAGUCGGAUGUGAAAUCUCCGGGCUCAACCCGGAAAUGGCAUUGGAAACUACCUUGCUGGAGGAUUUGAGGGGGGAUUGGAAUACUUGGUGUAGCAGUGAAAUGCGUAGAUAUCAAGUGGAACACCAGUGGCGAAGGCGAAUCCCUGGAAAAUACCUGACACUGAGACGCGAAGGCGUGGGGAGCGAACGGG
This 253-nucleotide ribosomal RNA is filed under the name uncultured bacterium. Its description in RNAcentral is "partial 16S ribosomal RNA". It matches the Rfam family "Bacterial small subunit ribosomal RNA", at positions 524 to 776 of the family's 1533-position model. The record is from RNAcentral.